CCUACGGGUGACAGCAGUGAGGAAUAUUGGUCAAUGGACGCAAGUCUGAACCAGCCAUGCCGCGUGCAGGAAGACGGUUCUACGUGUUGUAAACUGCUUUUGUCCGGGGGUAAACCCCGAUACUUGUCUCGGGAUGACAGUAUCUUACGAAUAAGGAUCGGCUCACUCCGUGCCAGCAGCCGCGGUAAUACGGAGGAUCCGAGCGUUAUCCGGAUUUAUUGGGUUUAAAGGGUGUGUAGGCGGUUUAAUAAGUCUGAGGUGAAAUGUCGGGGCUCAACCGGAGAACUGCCUUAGAAACUGUUGGACUAGAGAGUAGAUGAGGAGAGCGGAACGUAAGGUGUAGCGGUGAAAUGCGUAGAGAUAAGACAGAACACCAGUGGCGAAGGCAGCUUACUAAUCUAUAACUGACGUUGAGGCACGAAAGCGUGGGUAGCGAACAGGAUUAGAUACCCGGGUAGUC
RNAcentral lists this ribosomal RNA (460 nucleotides) under uncultured bacterium. RNAcentral describes it as "partial 16S ribosomal RNA". It matches the Rfam family "Bacterial small subunit ribosomal RNA", at positions 338 to 795 of the family's 1533-position model. The record is from RNAcentral.